GAUGAACGCUAGCUACAGGCUUAACACAUGCAAGUCGAGGGGUAACAAGAGAAAAGCUUGCUUUUCUUGUUGACGACCGGCGCACGGGUGAGUAACGCGUAUCCAACCUGCCUAUAACUAGGGAAUAACCUUGCGAAAGUAAGACUAAUACCCUAUGAUUUCCUUUGAUGACAUCAGAUUAGGAAUAAAGAUUUAUCGGUUAUAGAUGGGGAUGCGUCUGAUUAGCUUGUUGGCGGGGUAACGGCCCACCAAGGCAAAGAUCAGUAGGGGUUCUGAGAGGAAGGUCCCCCACAGUGGAACUGAGACACGGUCCAAACUCCUACGGGAGGCAGCAAUGAGGAAUAUUGGUCAAUGGGCGGAAGCCUGAACCAGCCAAGUAGCGUGCAGGAUGACGGCCCUAUGGGUUGUAAACUGCUUUUAUACAGGAAUAAAGUUAGCCACGUGUGGUUAUUUGUAGGUACUGUAUGAAUAAGGACCGGCUAAUUCCGUGCCAGCAGCCGCCGUAA
RNAcentral lists this ribosomal RNA (506 nucleotides) under uncultured bacterium. Its description in RNAcentral is "partial 16S ribosomal RNA". It matches the Rfam family "Bacterial small subunit ribosomal RNA", at positions 28 to 523 of the family's 1533-position model. The record is from RNAcentral.